GACGAACGCUGGCGGCGUGCUUAACACAUGCAAGUCGAACGGAAAGGCCCCCACCUUGGUGGGGGUGCUCGAGUGGCGAACGGGGGAGUAACACGUGGGUGAUCUGCCCUGUACUUCGGGAUAAGCUUGGGAAACUGGGUCUAAUACCGGAUAGGACCAUGGUUUAGUGUCUCAUGGUGGAAAGAUUAUUGUUUUGGUGCAGGAUGAGCUCGCGGCCUAUCAGCUUGUUGGUGGGGUAAUGGCCUACCAAGGCGUCGACGGGUAGCCGGCCUGAGAGGGUGGACGGCCACAUUGGGACUGAGAUACGGCCCAGACUCCUACGGGAGGCAGCAGUGGGGAAUAUUGCACAAUGGGCGCAAGCCUGAUGCAGCGACGCCGCGUGGGGGAUGACGGCCUUCGGGUUGUAAACUCCUUUCGUUAGGGACGAAGCCGCACCUGNUUUGGGUGUGGUGACGGUACCUUUGUUAAGAAGCACCGGCUAACUACGUGCCAGCAGCCGCGGUAAUACGUAGGNUGCGAGCGUUGUCGGAAUUACUGGGCGUAAGAGCUCGUNAGUGGUUUGUUGCGUCGUCUGUGAAUUCCGGGGCUUAACUUCGGGGUGGCAGGCGAUACGGGCAUAACUAGAGUGCUGUAGGGGAGACUGGAAUUCCUGGUGUAGCGGUGGAAUGCGCAGAUAUCAGGAGGAACACCGAUGGCGAAGGCAGGUCUCUGGGCAGUAACUGACGCUGAGGAGCGAAAGCAUGGGGAGCGAACAGGAUUAGAUACCCUGGUAGUCCAUGCUGUAAACGGUGGGCGUUAGGUGUGGGGACCGGUUUGGUUUCUGUGCCGUAGCUAACGCAUUAAGCGCCCCGCCUGGGGAGUACGGCCGCAAGGCUAAAACUCAAAGGAAUUGACGGGGGCCCGCACAAGCGGCGGAGCAUGUGGAUUAAUUCGAUGCAACGCGAAGAACCUUACCUGGGUUUGACAUGCACCAGACGGUUGUAGAGAUACGUACCUCCCUUUGUGGUUGGUGUGCAGGUGGUGCAUGGUUGUCGUCAGCUCGUGUCGUGAGAUGUUGGGUUAAGUCCCGCAACGAGCGCAACCCUUGUCUUAUGUUGCCAGCACUUUGGGUGGGGACUCAUGAGAGACUGCCGGGGUUAACUCGGAGGAAGGUGGGGAUGACGUCAAAUCAUCAUGCCCUUUAUGCCCAGGGCUUCACACAUGCUACAAUGGUUAGUACAACGCGCUGCGAGCCUGUGAGGGUGAGCGAAUCGCUGAAAGCUAAUCUCAGUUCGGAUUGGGGUCUGCAACUCGACCCCAUGAAGUCGGAGUCGCUAGUAAUCGCAGAUCAGCAAUGCUGCGGUGAAUACGUUCCCGGGCCU
Molecule: ribosomal RNA, 1361 nt
Filed under: uncultured bacterium
Lineage: Bacteria
Description: bacterial SSU rRNA
Rfam family: Bacterial small subunit ribosomal RNA
Source: RNAcentral